AUGGACGCUGGCGGCGUGCCUAAUACAUGCAAGUCGAGCGAACAGAUGAGGAGCUUGCUCCUCUGACGUUAGCGGCGGACGGGUGAGUAACACGUGGAUAACCUACCUAUAAGACUGGGAUAACUUCGGGAAACCGGAUCUAAUACCGGAUAAUAUAUUGAACCGCAUGGUUCAAUAGUGAAAGACGGUUUUGCUGUCACUUAUAGAUGGAUCCGCGCCGCAUUAGCUAGUUGGUAAGGUAACGGCUUACCAAGGCAACGAUGCGUAGCCGACCUGAGAGGGUGAUCGGCCACACUGGAACUGAGACACGGUCCAGACUCCUACGGGAGGCAGCAGUAGGGAAUCUUCCGCAAUGGGCGAAAGCCUGACGGAGCAACGCCGCGUGAGUGAUGAAGGUCUUCGGAUCGUAAAACUCUGUUAUUAGGGAAGAACAAAUGUGUAAGUAACUAUGCACGUCUUGACGGUACCUAAUCAGAAAGCCACGGCUAACUACGUG
This 496-nucleotide ribosomal RNA is filed under the name uncultured bacterium. Its description in RNAcentral is "partial 16S ribosomal RNA". It matches the Rfam family "Bacterial small subunit ribosomal RNA", at positions 29 to 507 of the family's 1533-position model. The record is from RNAcentral.